RNAcentral lists this ribosomal RNA (1241 nucleotides) under metagenome. RNAcentral's name for it is "bacterial LSU rRNA". It matches the Rfam family "Bacterial large subunit ribosomal RNA", at positions 1661 to 2925 of the family's 2925-position model. The record is from RNAcentral.
UGGUAGAUAGGAAGAGAAUUCCAAGGCCAACGGGAGAAGGGUUGUUAAGGAACUCGGCAAGUUGACCCCGUAACUUCGGGAGAAGGGGUGCUCAUGAAAGUGAGCCGCAGAGAAUAGGCCCAAGCGACUGUUUAGCAAAAACACAGCUCUAUGCUAAAUCGAAAGAUGACGUAUAUGGGGUGACACCUGCCCGGUGCUGGAAGGUUAAGAGGAGGGGUGAGAGCUCUGAAUUGAAGCCCCAGUAAACGGCGGCCGUAACAAUAACGGUCCUAAGGUAGCGAAAUUCCUUGUCAGGUAAGUUCUGACCCGCACGAAUGGUGUAACGAUUUGGGCACUGUCUCAACAACCCGCCCGGCGAAAUUGUAGUACCGGUGAAGAUGCCGGUUACCCGCGACUAGACGGAAAGACCCCAUGGAGCUUCACUGUAGCUUAAUAUUGGAUUUCGGUAUUUGAUGUACAGGAUAGGUGGGAGACUAGGAAGCAAAGGCGUCAGCUUUUGUGGAGUCAAACUUGGGAUACCACUCUUUAAGUGCUGGAAUUCUAACCUGCGACCAUGAAACUGGUCGGGGGACAAUGUUAGGUGGGCAGUUUGACUGGGGCGGUCGCCUCCAAAAAGGUAACGGAGGCGCUCAAAGGUUAGCUCAGUAUGGAUGGAAACCAUGCGAAGAGUGUAAACGCGUAAGCUAGCCUAACUGCGAGACUGACGGGUCGAGCAGUAACGAAAGUUGGAGUUAGUGAUCCGGCGGUAUGUGAAUGGAAAUGCCGUCGCUCAACGGAUAAAAGCUACCCUGGGGAUAACAGGCUGAUCUCCCCCAAGAGUCCACAUCGACGGGGAGGUUUGGCACCUUGAUGUCGGCUCAUCGCACCCUGGGGCUGAAUUUGGUCCCAAGGGUUUGGCUGUUCGCCAAUUAAAGCGGUACGCGAGCUGGGUUCAGAACGUCGUGAGACAGUUCGGUCCCUAUCUGUCGUGGGCGAAGGAUAUUUGAGAGGAGCUGUCCCUAGUACGAGAGGACCGGGAUGGACGCACCUCUGGUGCACCAGUUGUCACGCCAGUGGCACAGCUGGGCAGCUAAGUGCGGAACGGAUAAACGCUGAAGGCAUCUAAGCGUGAAGCCGGCCUUAAGAUAAGAUAUCCCAUCGUAAGAGUAAGACCCCUUAAAGACUAUGAGGUUGAUAGGCUCAAAGUGUAAGCAUGGUGACGUGUUAAGCUAGCGAGUACUAAUUGGUCGAGGGCUUUUCCG